Molecule: long non-coding RNA, 1247 nt
Organism: Lemur catta (Ring-tailed lemur)
Lineage: Eukaryota; Metazoa; Chordata; Mammalia; Primates; Lemuridae
Exons: 3
Source: RefSeq, a predicted model, not a curated record
GUCUGUCUUUCUCCCUUUGUCCUCACUGGCAUUGCCUUGGUUCAGGUCCACCUCAUUUCUCAUGAAAACUAAUUUAUCAACUUUCUAAAGCUCUUGCUGCUUCCAGUCUUGUUUCUGCCAAUUCAUUCUGGAAACCAAAGCCAGAGCCAUCUUUCCAAAAUGCAAAUCUGCCUGAGUCACUCUCUUGCUGAAAGCCCUUCCACCGGUUCCCUGACACAGGGUGGCACGCCAGCUCCUGGGUCCACCUCGUCCCCAGCCCCAGCCCCACUGUGUUAGUUUGGCCCUGUGCCCUUGUCUUUGAGCAAAGGGCUUAUUGCUCCCUUUGCUCUCCCAUUUACCUGAUUACUAUUUCACCUACUUCAAAACUCAGCUCAAGGGUGUUAGAAAGCCUUCCCAAUCUCCUCCAUGACCCACACAACACGUGCAGCCCCAAGCCAGAUAACCAGGGAGGCCCUGGCUGGCCCUGCAGAUGUUGAGUUAAGAAGUUCCUGUACCUUCCACGCCCAACGGUACCCAGAACGAUUAAGUCAGAUAUCAUCCGUGGGAAUUAGGGCAGCAUCAGGCCACUAGAAGCUUCACUCUUCGCAGGGAUGAGGAACCACCGGAAAGCAAGAAUUGCUCAUCAUUAAACACAGAUCACCUCUUGCACAGCCAUACACUGGAUGUGUAUGGACCGACCUCACUCUUAAGGGUGGCGACGGUGCUGUACUCACGAGAAUUCGAGUGCCCAGUUCCGACACCUGGGAACUUCCCCCUGGCUUCUGGGGAGCCCUUUGGGUUCAAGCGAGGAUGAGGCUGGUUGGGAAGUUAGGACCAGCCCACAGGAAUCCAAUCUCUAGAGCAGGCAUCCAACUGACUUAGAGUCCAGCAGCUGGGUGACUCUUUCAAUCUCAGAACAACCAGACUCCUGCGCUCCUCCACAGGGUCUGUGGCUUCUGAACUGGCAACAAGAUCUUGAACUCUAUCACUCCACAGAACUCAGAAUCUCUUCGGUCUGCUGCAACCUCAGGCAAUUCUCCAGAUACAAGAAAGAAAUCCAUGAAGAGGAAGCAGAAAUGGAACAAGUCUGUUACAUCCCCUGGUUGACAAUUAACUUUUGUUAAUAAAAAAAAGUAAAAACCUAUCUUCAGAUUAUUUAAUGACCAAGUCUGGUGUUUACUCAGGCAGUUGCUCAAGGUCUACUGGAACAGAUAGCACAGACAGGCUAAUGAAUUUCUUAUCAUAGAAAUAAUCUCCAGACAGGGAAG